RNAcentral lists this ribosomal RNA (301 nucleotides) under uncultured bacterium. RNAcentral's name for it is "partial 16S ribosomal RNA". It matches the Rfam family "Bacterial small subunit ribosomal RNA", at positions 509 to 807 of the family's 1533-position model. The record is from RNAcentral.
CAGUAGCCGCGGUAAAACGGAGGGUGCGAGCGUUAAUCGGAAUUACUGGGCGUAAAGGGUGCGUAGGUGGUUUGAUAAGUUAUCUGUGAAAUCCCUGGGCUUAACCUGGGCAGGUCAGAUAGGACUGUUGGACUCGAGUAUAGGAGAGGGUAGUGGAAUUUCCGGUGUAGCGGUGAAAUGCGUAGAGAUCGGAAGGAACACCAGUGGCGAAGGCGGCUACCUGGCCUGAUACUGACACUGAGGCACGAAAGCGUGGGGAGCAAACAGGAUUAGAUACCCCGGUAGUCCCUGUCUCUUAUAC